UCGGGGGAUAGGGGAGCGUUUCACUCCGCCGGCUGCCGUUCCACAUAAAGCGGAUGCGGAUCGAUCCGUGGUGCAAGUCCAUUCCUGCGGGC
This 92-nucleotide transfer RNA is filed under the name Pseudomonas sp. 31 R 17. RNAcentral's name for it is "tRNA-Gly". The record is from RNAcentral. Lineage: Bacteria; Pseudomonadati; Pseudomonadota; Gammaproteobacteria; Pseudomonadales; Pseudomonadaceae.